RNAcentral lists this small RNA (2655 nucleotides) under Vigna angularis var. angularis. RNAcentral's name for it is "Non-protein coding transcript". The record is from RNAcentral. Lineage: Eukaryota; Viridiplantae; Streptophyta; Magnoliopsida; Fabales; Fabaceae.
CGCCAUGUGGUUUAAAAACUUAAUUAUCCACCCAACUUGCUCACAGUAUCGAAAAAUUGCUGAAUUAGAAUCAAACCAAGACUUAAUUUUAUUUGUGUAACUACCAAAUCCAUCCAUCCAAACUUUCUAAACUACUGUUUAUAUAUUCUCUCCCUUGCUGUACAAAAUGUUGAUCUAACUAGCUAGAAUCAAACAGCUCACACAUUACAUAGUAACUCUUACAUCUCGGUAUUCAACUUUCUGACACCAUACGGGUGAGUAUUAGUGUUACUCCCUUUUCUCUUGCUUCUCUGUCUAUCUUUGGUUGGUCUACUGCAGUACAUGAAUCCAUGAUGCUACCGCUAGAACUAAAAGGAGUAUUUACAUAUGUCAGUACUGCAUCACAGAAUGAAAGACAUGAGAUUUUUAAUCUCUGUACGGACAAAGACACAUUCAUUCAAACCUUCACUUAUGGCUUAGCACACCGUUCUUUGAGCACCAACCCGGCCUAACCCACAACUGCAACUUUUGAGUCAGCUUCAGAAAUCUUGUAACAAGGUAGUUGAUGGGACCCCAUCUUCAUACUUGAGUCUCCAAGUAUUCAAUUCAUAAUUAUUAAUGGCGAUGGAUCUUAUCUCAAACUCAAGGAGAAGGAAACCAAUAAUUGAGAAUGAUCGAGCAUCGAUUCAGCCAUGCGACCACUUUCUCUUAUGUUUUUUGUUUUAUUAAAGCAACAGAUAUGAUUGAUGUGAAACGACAUCACUCCUUUCACUUCUUGUUCCAAUGGUGAACACAGACUAUCAGUUCAUAAGCUUAUUCAAGGUGUCAUAAUCUAAUAGCUUGUCACACUCCUUUUCCAUGUACUGUUUCUUAGAGGAGGGGAGAAGACACCCAAAUAAGUUUUUCCUAGUUUCCGAACAAACAAACAAACAAACGUUUGGUAUGCUCGUUUGUCACUCUUUAUUUUUCGCAAACAAGAAGGUACCGUGGUAAUUAAGAGUAAGAGACAAAGAACUUAAAACACGAGUGAGAAAACAUACUUGAUCGUAGUUUCGUAAAUGUAACAAGGAAGAGAGAAAAUUUAAUCCAUUCAGACUUGCAUCUGAAGACUACACUACUACUUGACUGACUAAUUACGUGAAUGUAGACAUCCUUCAAACUAAGAACGACACUUUUGUCUUUCCUUUUCCAUACAUUUUUGUUCUGACCUGAACAAGAAAUACAAAACAUCCAUUCUAACCAAGUUGAACUUCCUUUUUAUGGCAGGAUAGGGAUGUACAUGUCAUUUCACAUUCUCAUCUACACCCGGGAACGUGCUCGUUGGGACAUAUGUUUCCACUCCACCAAGCGUUGAAGAAAGCUCAUCACCUGCAUGAAAUGAGUACAUAAAUAAUACUGAUCAGUUAUAUUGAAAAAGGCAUAGGAGAAAAUCGAGUAAGAAAAUAUGAAGUGAGAAAAUUCUGCUUGCCUCGUUUGGUUCUUGUAAAGAGUAAGAUGCACUUGUGUCUUUCGGAAAUUUGGAGACAAGAAUACCAAAACCUUGUCCUCUGUCUCUCAAUUUCUGCUCAUCAGAAAAAUGGGAAACCAUUUAGUUUUUGAAGCCAUAACAUAACUAUUCCAAAUAACAUAGUUAUUACACAAACUAAGUAAAAAGAGCUGUUUUUCGUAGGGAAAUAAAUUUCUAUUAAGAAAAAAUAAUAAUUGAGAUCUUUGGAUACCUUGAAAGCAUCUUCAUCGGAUCGAUCAUCGCCAAUAUAAACAGGAAAUACAUCACUGCAAUUGGCCAAACCUGUGGGAAAUUAUUUGAAAUUGAGAUGAUGGUGGACAAUUAAAAAAGAAAAAAAAACUUCAAUAUAAAUUAAGAUUCACAUGUGUCAAAACAAUGUUUAACUGGUAAACUAAUCACUUAGAGUAUGGGAGUUUUCCUUUAUUUAUUUGUGGGAGUCAAAACUCUGAAGAGUUACGUAACUUUAGCCAUCAGUAAUACGUGUUUUAUAAAAUAUGUUCAGCAAACGUUGAAUUGUGAAACUAAAACUCACCAAGGGACUCUAAUAAAAAUUCCAGGGCCUUCCCUUUGUCCCAUUUAAUAGUCGGACGAAUCUCUAGCACCUGUGUAAAAUAAAUGACUAUCUCUGAGAAAUUAACAUGGCAAGAAAAUAGAUAAAAAAAACAAGAAAACAGAAACAUGGCCCACCUUUCUUCCUUGGGUAAGUCGGAGCUUCGGGUAGUCCUUUAAAACUGAUUUCACUUGGCGUGCCAGGUCACUCCAUUUCUACGUAUAGUGCAUUUGGUUUAGACUUUUUUCGUGAACAGAGAAAUAGUCCACACGAUAUAAAAAAAGAAAAGAAACUCGACCAGGAACAAAAACAAUGCAAAUAGUUAUAGCGAAUGUCUGAAAAACGGAUGGCUUCAUGGCUUAUAGUUUGCACCUUUUCAUCAACACAACGAAAAUGAACAGAGAGGCAGAACUUGUUGUUCUCAACCAUGGCUCCAGGAGUUGAUUUGGUCUUCUCAACCAAUUGUUGGUACACCUGAAAUUUUGCACACCCAGAGGAAAUUAAAAAAAGAAGUGAUCUUAGCAUUGUGGAAACAAAACCAUUUGGCUCUCUACACGAACCUCAUCUAUCAUGGGAAGAAAAUCGCUGGCAGGUUGAAAAAGAAUUGCCUCAGCUUUGC